CAGUCGUACUUAUGGGUAAUCAGCCUUUUGGGUGUGAUUUUGUGGAGUGUGAGGAGUUAAACGCCUUCAUGCCUGCAUAUUCGUGCACUUUGGGUGUACUUGCCCGUGUGUAAGUUAACAUCAAUUUUGGUGGUCAUAAAAUGAUUGGAGGAAUGUAGCUUCGAUCUCGUAUUGAAGUGUUAUAGCCUUUGGUAGAUGUGAUGUUUGAGGACCGUAGGAUUAGCAACGGAUACCCUUCAGGGGCUAUUCGUCUGAUCUCUGAUACGUUGCCUUGA
RNAcentral lists this ribosomal RNA (275 nucleotides) under Rhizophagus irregularis. Lineage: Eukaryota; Fungi; Glomeromycota; Glomeromycetes; Glomerales; Glomeraceae. The record is from RNAcentral.